Molecule: ribosomal RNA, 253 nt
Filed under: uncultured bacterium
Lineage: Bacteria
Description: partial 16S ribosomal RNA
Rfam family: Bacterial small subunit ribosomal RNA
Source: RNAcentral
UACGUAGGGGGCAAGCGUUGUCCGGAAUCAUUGGGCGUAAAGAGCGUGUAGGCGGCCCGAUAAGUCCGCUGUGAAAGUCCAGGGCUCAACCCUGGGAUGCCGGUGGAUACUGUCGGGCUCGAGUCCGGAAGAGGCGAGUGGAAUUCCUGGUGUAGCGGUGAAAUGCGCAGAUAUCAGGAGGAACACCCGUGGCGAAAGCGGCUCUCUGGGACGGUACUGACGCUGAGACGCGAAAGCGUGGGGAGCGAACAGG